GUAGGUGUCGGAGUUGCGGCCGCGAGAUGCAGGCGCGCAGCCUCCGUUGGGUGCUAAGACGAGCAGGGAGGCCGACGAUGGUGUGCCCCAGGUGCGCCGCAGAGGAUCCCCAUCGAGACGACGCGAAUUGAGGCGAUGACCGGCGGCUAGCUGCUGGCUGUUGCUGCUCCCGUGGCUAGCUUACUACUCCUGUCUGCCCCACGAGAGGGGUGCGACCGCGAGGUGCGGUGCGGUGCGAUGGGUGUGGAGAGGUUGCGUCCGACCAUGUGGUGUCGUGUGGUCGAUCCGACCAGGUGGGUGUGUAGAGAUGCGACCAGGUGAGGCGCGGUCCGACCAUGCGGGGCGACAAACGUAAAUUCGUCGUUUUUGCAAUAAAACCCCUUGUAUUCUCCCGCCCAGGCGUCUUCUGAUGAGCUGGCGGUCAAAACCCGCGUGGACUCUCUAGUCAACAGCCAAGUCAGCAGAUACAUAGAGGAAAUGGUAUUUUGGACCGUAGACGACCACCUGAGACAAGUUGUAGGACUGUAUUUUGGGUAUUUGCAAGUACGAGGAGAAAUGCGGCCAACGCGACAAGUAUGAGGACCUGUAGUGAAUUUUUCUCUUUUUGUUGGGACUAAAAGUGAAAACGAUAUUUGGGACCAAAACUUUUCAAAUAGCUCUGAAUAUGAAUUGGGACCUUGUGCAGUUUGGGGUGGAGCUGCAUGGAGUGAGAUGCGGACAACAAUAGGGCGAAGAAGCAUGCGAUCGAGGAGUGCAAGCAGCGGCGCUCCUUUGCAAUGGGUUGUGGCUGCAGGGGAGGGGAGGCAGCCAACGACGGGGAGAAUGAGCAGGUCGUUGAGGAGUGCAAGCAGCAGGAUUAAUUUAGGCCCAUACAGUUUCCGUUGAAUGGAAGUCUGAAACUGAAGAUAGGGCAUAUUGUUUUAGUUCUGAGUGGUUGGGGAUAUUGUGGAUUGAUUUCCCUAGAGCAGUCAGACCUCCAAGAUAGGUGCUAAAUUCCUAGGUGUCAAGGGCAUUGUUGUGGCGCGAUCCUUGUCUACUACGAUCGCUCGGCAUGGCGUCCAUAGCCCCUUUUGCUGCAUUCUUUGUUUUUCGGAAAAUAUGUUCUUGCUUGAGGGUGAAUAUGUUCAUGAUUCAUAAUCAUUGUAUUUGAUUCAUAAGAAAUAGUGAGAUGCUUUGUUAUGAGUUAUGAUAUAGGGUUUGUAAAAUUUGCAUGCAAUUUAUUGAUGGUUAGGAUUCGAGCUCAAUUUCAAUAACUUUAGAGCCUUUUUUUUAUCCUCUCGAAUUUUCUCAUCUAUUACAGUGAAUUACUGCAGAUCCAUUUUACAUCUACAGUCCAAGGAGGCAAAGUCUUGUGGCUUAAUAUCAUUUAAAACCUGUCUUUCAUUAAUAUGGUCAUUCCUUUGUCUUAAUCUUACCAUGGUUAACUCCCU
Molecule: long non-coding RNA, 1430 nt
Organism: Triticum aestivum (bread wheat)
Lineage: Eukaryota; Viridiplantae; Streptophyta; Magnoliopsida; Poales; Poaceae
Exons: 3
Source: RefSeq, a predicted model, not a curated record